This 73-nucleotide transfer RNA is filed under the name Bos taurus (domestic cattle). It matches the Rfam family "tRNA". Rfam says of the family: Transfer RNA (tRNA) molecules are approximately 80 nucleotides in length. Their secondary structure includes four short double-helical elements and three loops (D, anti-codon, and T loops). Further hydrogen bonds mediate the characteristic L-shaped molecular structure. tRNAs have two regions of fundamental functional importance: the anti-codon, which is responsible for specific mRNA codon recognition, and the 3' end, to which the tRNAs corresponding amino acid is attached (by aminoacyl-tRNA synthetases). tRNAs cope with the degeneracy of the genetic code in two manners: having more than one tRNA (with a specific anti-codon) for a particular amino acid; and 'wobble' base-pairing, i.e. permitting non-standard base-pairing at the 3rd anti-codon position. Lineage: Eukaryota; Metazoa; Chordata; Mammalia; Artiodactyla; Bovidae. The record is from Rfam by way of RNAcentral. RNAcentral also lists the same sequence under 2 other names.
UCCCUGGUAGUCCAGUGGUUAGGACUCCAAGUUUCCAAUACCAGGGGCCUGGGUUCGAUCUCUGGUCAGGGAA